CCUACGGGAGGCAGCAGUGGGGAAUAUUGCACAAUGGGGGAAACCCUGAUGCAGCGACGCCGUGUGAGUGAAUAAGUAAUUCGUUAUGUAAAGCUCUAUCAGCAGGGAAGAAAAUGACGGUACCUGACUAAGCAGCCCCGGCUAACUACGUGCCAGCAGCCGCGGUAAUACGUAGGGGGCAAGCGUUAUCCGGAUUUACUGGGGGUAAAGGGGGCGUAGACGGCAGUGCAAGUCUGGAGGGAAAGGCGGGGGCUUAACCCCCGGACUGCUCUGGAAACUGUACGGCUUGAGUUCAGGAGAGGUAAGUGGAAUUCCUAGUGUAGCGGUGAAAUGCGUAGAUAUUAGGAGGAACACCAGUGGCGAAGGCGGCUUACUGGAGCGUAACUGACGUUGAGGCUCGAAAGCGUGGGGAGCAAACAGGAUUAGAUACCCCGGUAGUC
RNAcentral lists this ribosomal RNA (440 nucleotides) under uncultured bacterium. Its description in RNAcentral is "partial 16S ribosomal RNA". It matches the Rfam family "Bacterial small subunit ribosomal RNA", at positions 338 to 795 of the family's 1533-position model. The record is from RNAcentral.